AUGGUGUUGGUCGUGUUCGUCAUAGAACCACCUAUCCCAGUGGGACGAGUCCUCGACGAAUUCCGGGUUGUGGCGAAGGUGCACGGGGACUACCUUUUCCUAGUCACGGCGAGCACAUACAUGUCGUUGCGCACUAGUGUUGCAGCCCUCGGCAACGUCAUGGUGAAGGAUCGUUCUCCGCCGCCAACCAGCCCUUCGCAGGCCCGAUCCACCCCUUCGCCCCCGCCGCGGCCGAUCCAUCCCUGUGCCGCGGCCGAUCCUAACCUUCGCCGUCGCCCACUCCUGUCGAUCCCAUCUAUCGUUGCCGCUGCAGCCGCCGCAAAAAAAAUCCAUCGACCCCUCCCAUCGAUCGUUGCCGCCGCCGCCGUCCGAGGGGCAGACGCCGCCGCCGCCGCAGUACAAGGGGGAGACGCCGCCGCCGCUGCUGCAAGGCAUGGCGGUUUGAACCCCGCCCCCGCCUCUGCAAGGCAGGGUGGUUUGAAUCCCGCCCCCGCCGCUGCAAGGCAUGCUCACCAAGAUGUUCGGCGAGGCCGGCGACUACGACGGCAUCCAGCGAUCGGCAAGACCGGCAAGUUGGGGCUGGCCCGCAGCCUGUUCGAGGAAAUGUCCGCCGAGGGGGUCGAGCCCAACGAGCGCACGCGCACCGCGGUGGCCAAGAUCUGUUGCCGGGCACGCUGGGGACGCGACGUGCUCCAGCUCUGGGACAAGAUGCGCGACAAGAAGAUCCCCGCCCACAACAUCCUCUGCAACACGCAUGUGCGCCGACGUGGGGCUGGACUAGAGAGGCCGGGAUUGAGCAAGGGCGCUGGAGAUAUUGUGUCAAUAGUGGGCAUCUUGAUGCAGUUGCGCUUGUCGAGGUUGAGGGAAGCAAUUGACGUGCAUGCCAAGAGGAGUUAUUCUGUGGCAACCCACAGUUCUUGUUUUGGUGCCUUAAAAAAUCAUCUUAAUCGGAUACUGAUAUCACUUAUGCAAGAGUCAUGUUUGAUCAUUAAAAGAAAUGGCCACGGAUCCCCACGGACGCCGCCACUGCCGCGGAUCCCCACGGAUGAUGCAGACGCCGCCGAACAGAGCAGGAUGUGGUCGCGUUGCACUGAUUGGAGGAGACCGUGCCGGCCGUGCGCUGUUUGGAGGACGAACACAGGUAUUAAUCUGUUCGAGUAUGCAUGGGCCUCAAAGAACCGAGCAAAGCAUCCCAUUCAUUUCAAUCAUUGCAUGUGUUUGCUCUGCAGGUUCACCGCCAUGGCUAUGAGAGGACGCAUUUGUGUUCAGUUGUUCGGGCAGAGGAGGCACUUUGUUGAAGCAUCAAAAGCUUGUGUCCCCUUUGGACUAGGGAAGUAUAAACUGUAUGUUCUAUUCUGCAGCUCCUGCUGCUGCUAUAUUGACCUCUACUUGAAGUCAGGAGCCAAAUUGAAGAUCAAAUUCAGAUUCGAAGGUGAACUUCUGUUUUCUGCGAAGUUUAGAAUCUCGUUGUUUCCUAUGCCUGCCGGCUGCCGCUCAUGUACUGCACAUGCAGUGGGAGUACAUUGUUGUUUCGUGUCAUUUGCCUCCCUCACCCCAUCGAUUGACAGGGCAUCGCAUGCCCAGCACGGCGUCUCCCGUAAAUCAAGGAACAUGGGCCUCGCGACGAGGGUGCGGGUGGAGCACGGCCAUCCGUUGAUAGGAGGGAGCUGGGGGAGGGGUGAUGCAAGCCACUUGUGGGCGAUGGAUGUAGAAGAGGAGGAGCACUGGAUGGCAGUGGCGGAGCCUUGGCUCAUCAACGGUCGUCGGCUCAUGGUCUUGGCGAUUGCAUGCAUAGCACGGAUGUUUUGGAAGGCGGGGUUACGAUUGUUUGGCCUCUACGAGGCUCCGCCAGUGUUGGAUGAAUAUUGUGCUUACUCCUAUCUCUCGCCCUCUUGCAGGCUUUCAAAAGUGAGGCUAGGGCGCGGAGGUGAGGCCAAAUUGGCGUGUGAAUGUUUUGGCAGCAAGAAACACUUGCAAAUGUAUGUCUUCUGGAUCGACUUCGACUUCGCCGCAUUUAAGCAUCCACUAGGUUAUGGCCAAAAUAACCCCUCGAAGACCAAUGCCAACCUAUGCCAAAUUACCGACCACAUGCAUCAGUGGCGAGGCGAGGCGGCUCCGAUUUCAGAGACAAGCAAGGAAGAAGAAAUAUGCAAUGAUUGCACCCGUGGAGGAUCCCGUCCAAGCCGUACGCCCAUCACUCACCAUCAUUGCCACUCGGACCAUGGUACAUCAGCUCCGACUUCAAAGCAAGGAAACAAGAGGAAAGAUAUCCGACGAACGAUCGCCAGAAACCAGUCCCUAACAAACACCCCCACAGCCACAUGA
RNAcentral lists this ribosomal RNA (2325 nucleotides) under Triticum aestivum (bread wheat). RNAcentral's name for it is "partial small subunit ribosomal RNA". The record is from RNAcentral. Lineage: Eukaryota; Viridiplantae; Streptophyta; Magnoliopsida; Poales; Poaceae.